Molecule: non-coding RNA, 28 nt
Filed under: Homo sapiens (human)
Lineage: Eukaryota; Metazoa; Chordata; Mammalia; Primates; Hominidae
Source: RNAcentral
UAGAAAGAAAAUGCUUGCAUAUGUGGUC